GAGUCUUAAUUGGGCGUUAAGUUGCAGGGUAUAGACCCGAAACCCGGUGAUCUAGCCAUGGGCAGGUUGAAGGUUGGGUAACACUAACUGGAGGACCGAACCGACUAAUGUUGAAAAAUUAGCGGAUGACCUGUGGCUGGGGGUGAAAGGCCAAUCAAACCGGGAGAUAGCUGGUUCUCCCCGAAAGCUAUUUAGGUAGCGCCUCGUGAAUUCAUCUCCGGGGGUAGAGCACUGUUUCGGCUAGGGGGCCAUCCCGGCUUACCAACCCGAUGCAAACUGCGAAUACCGGAGAAUGUUAUCACGGGAGACACACGGCGGGUGCUAACGUCCGUCGUGAAGAGGGAAACAACCCAGACCGCCAGCUAAGGUCCCAAAGUCAUGGUUAAGUGGGAAACGAUGUGGGAAGGCCCAGACAGCCAGGAUGUUGGCUUAGAAGCAGCCAUCAUUUAAAGAAAGCGUAAUAGCUCACUGGUCGAGUCGGCCUGCGCGGAAGAUGUAACGGGGCUAAACCAUGCACCGAAGCUGCGGCAGCGACACUGUGUGUUGUUGGGUAGGGGAGCGUUCUGUAAGCCUGUGAAGGUGUGUCGUGAGGCAUGCUGGAGGUAUCAGAAGUGCGAAUGCUGACAUAAGUAACGAUAAAGCGGGUGAAAAGCCCGCUCGCCGGAAGACCAAGGGUUCCUGUCCAACGUUAAUCGGGGCAGGGUGAGUCGACCCCUAAGGCGAGGCCGAAAGGCGUAGUCGAUGGGAAACGGGUUAAUAUUCCCGUACUUGGUGUUACUGCGAAGGGGGGACGGAGAAGGCUAUGUUGGCCGGGCGACGGUUGUCCCGGUUUAAGCGUGUAGGUGUGUGUUCCAGGUAAAUCCGGUUCACUUUAACACUGAGGCGUGACGACGAGGCACUACGGUGCUGAAGCAACAAAUGCCCUGCUUCCAGGAAAAGCCUCUAAGCAUCAGGUAACAUCAAAUCGUACCCCAAACCGACACAGGUGGUCAGGUAGAGAAUACCAAGGCGCUUGAGAGAACUCGGGUGAAGGAACUAGGCAAAAUGGUGCCGUAACUUCGGGAGAAGGCACGCUGACACGUAGGUGAAGUGAUUUACUCAUGGAGCUGAAGUCAGUCGAAGAUACCAGCUGGCUGCAACUGUUUAUUAAAAACACAGCACUGUGCAAACACGAAAGUGGACGUAUACGGUGUGACGCCUGCCCGGUGCCGGAAGGUUAAUUGAUGGGGUCAGCGCAAGCGAAGCUCCUGAUCGAAGCCCCGGUAAACGGCGGCCGUAACUAUAACGGUCCUAAGGUAGCGAAAUUCCUUGUCGGGUAAGUUCCGACCUGCACGAAUGGCGUAAUGAUGGCCAGGCUGUCUCCACCCGAGACUCAGUGAAAUUGAACUCGCUGUGAAGAUGCAGUGUACCCGCGGCAAGACGGAAAGACCCCGUGAACCUUUACUAUAGCUUGACACUGAACAUUGAGCCUUGAUGUGUAGGAUAGGUGGGAGGCUUUGAAGUGUGGACGCCAGUCUGCAUGGAGCCGACCUUGAAAUACCACCCUUUAAUGUUUGAUGUUCUAACGUGGACCCGUUACCCGGGUUGCGGACAGUGUCUGGUGGGUAGUUUGACUGGGGCGGUCUCCUCCUAAAGAGUAACGGAGGAGCACGAAGGUUGGCUAAUCCUGGUCGGACAUCAGGAGGUUAGUGCAAUGGCAUAAGCCAGCUUGACUGCGAGCGUGACGGCGCGAGCAGGUGCGAAAGCAGGUCAUAGUGAUCCGGUGGUUCUGAAUGGAAGGGCCAUCGCUCAACGGAUAAAAGGUACUCCGGGGAUAACAGGCUGAUACCGCCCAAGAGUUCAUAUCGACGGCGGUGUUUGGCACCUCGAUGUCGGCUCAUCACAUCCUGGGGCUGAAGUAGGUCCCAAGGGUAUGGCUGUUCGCCAUUUAAAGUGGUACGCGAGCUGGGUUUAGAACGUCGUGAGACAGUUCGGUCCCUAUCUGCCGUGGGCGCUGGAGAACUGAGGGGGGCUGCUCCUAGUACGAGAGGACCGGAGUGGACGCAUCACUGGUGUUCGGGUUGUCAUGCCAAUGGCACUGCCCGGUAGCUAAAUGCGGAAGAGAUAAGUGCUGAAAGCAUCUAAGCACGAAACUUGCCCCGAG
This 2143-nucleotide ribosomal RNA is filed under the name Salmonella enterica subsp. enterica serovar Enteritidis. RNAcentral describes it as "partial 23S ribosomal RNA". It matches the Rfam family "Bacterial large subunit ribosomal RNA", at positions 679 to 2803 of the family's 2925-position model. The record is from RNAcentral. Lineage: Bacteria; Pseudomonadati; Pseudomonadota; Gammaproteobacteria; Enterobacterales; Enterobacteriaceae.